AAAUGACGAACACAGAGGAAAGAAGAGAGGCAACUGCUGAGGUCCCCUAGGCCUUUGAGAAAACGGAGUUGUACCUUUGGCAACAUAAGUGCAUAUCUACAAGAAAGGCGAUAAUGUAGACACCAAGGGAAUGGGUACUGUCCAAAAAGAAAUGCCUCACAAAUGUCACCAUGGCAAAACUAAAAGAGUCUACAAAGUUACCUAGCAUGCUGUUGGCAUCAUUGUAAACAAACAAGUUAAGGGCAAGAUUCUUGCCAAGAGAAUUAAUAUGCAUAUUGGGCAUAUUAAGCACUCUAAGAGCCAAGAUGAUUUCCUGAAAGUGUGUGAAGGAAAAUAACCAGCAUAAAGAGGGAAGCUAAAGAGAAACCUGAAGCUGCAGCCUGUUCCACCCAGAGAAGCACACUUUGUAAGAACCAAUGAAAAGGAGCCUGAGCUGCUGGAGUCUAUUAACUGAAUUCAUGGU
Molecule: long non-coding RNA, 463 nt
Filed under: Homo sapiens (human)
Lineage: Eukaryota; Metazoa; Chordata; Mammalia; Primates; Hominidae
Description: non-protein coding lnc-SOX21-4:1
Source: RNAcentral